AUUUUGUUAGUCUAAUAAAGACGUUGAUUUGUGGAAUCAAAAAUGAUUUAUCUUCACAAAAUU
Molecule: transfer RNA, 63 nt
Filed under: Thrips setosus
Lineage: Eukaryota; Metazoa; Arthropoda; Insecta; Thysanoptera; Thripidae
Description: tRNA-His
Source: RNAcentral